Molecule: long non-coding RNA, 601 nt
Organism: Cygnus olor (mute swan)
Lineage: Eukaryota; Metazoa; Chordata; Aves; Anseriformes; Anatidae
Exons: 3
Source: RefSeq, a predicted model, not a curated record
UAUUGAAGAAAUAUGGUUGUGUUCCUAAUCUCUGGGAGAGAGCCUGACAACACUGAUCUACAUCUUCAAGCACCUAUCAAAACACACAAGAGAUAAGAUAAUCAUAUUGUCAAGAAAGACCAACAUUAAAAAAAAAUAACCUUCUUACUGUAUUUGUGCUGACAGAGGGAACAAAGAAUACACAACGUUGGAACAUCAAAAGCUGCUAAAGAAUGAAAAUGUGGUAAAGAAAGGAAACUGGGAAAAUGGCAGAUGCCAGCAAGUGUGGACAUGGGUUGUGGAUGGCAAAGAAGAGAGGGCAUGCAGCUGCCACCAGUCACACUCUUGCACAUCUAAGAAGCUCCUCUGUGUAGAUGUUCAGCAUUCUAAAGCUAUCUUUAUUUACAAAAGGAAAGAAACUGCACCAGAGAAGAGGGGGAAGGCAUCCCAGACACGUAGCAUGGACCGACUUAUCAGCAAGACAAGGCUCAGUUGCCAUGACAUCAAACUGGAGGUGUAAUGUAGUAAGCUAAAUGAAGGCCGCACUUACCAGAUGGGGACAUGUACUCAGCAUUUGCCCUGCAAACCACCCGGACCGGCAGGUUGCACAUUUGCAAAAAGG